AUGAAUGUGUCGCAAAUGUUUCAGCAAACCAGUGUAUUGGCACUUGACCUCUGGAAAUUUUGUUUCAUUGGAAUCAAUGAAUGUGACACGAGUGUCAGGAAUCUGCUUGGCAACCCUUUGCAAUGCAUUAGACUCUCGCAGCUCUAUCAAGGGAGGAAGACGACAUUAGCAUCGAGGCUAAGGACCACCCUUGCCUCGCGUUCGCGUCUUAGAUCGAAACAGCCCCAUGUUUUCGCCGGCUUGGUAUUCAUGAACGGGGUUCCAACGUGGGACAUUCGAGUUCCUCUCUUCUUCCUUCAUGAAUUUACAAUCGGAGCGAAGAAAUCGCGUAGACGAGGCUCGCACGUGCCACGCUUCCGCGAGAAACUGCGCGGAACAUUGGAAAUUUAAAUUCCACGAAUGAGUCUACAUUUCCUUCUGAAAACGAUCAUCCUGUAGUACGCAAAGUGAAUACUCCUAUCGAUUUCCUACGUCCCACAAUGGUCGUCAGAAAUGAGCAAAAACCCGUCGUGCUCGGUAAUCGUAUCGAGCAACGAAUCCGUGAUCCAGCUAAUAAGAGCGACAGCGUCGAAGGAAGGGGGAAAGAGAGAAAUAAUAACAUGAAAGAUAGAGGCUGGAGGUUUAGCCGGACGAGGGUGAAUGGGGAAUUGGUUUCUGUAACACACGAGCCAAGUGACAUACCUG
Long non-coding RNA from Frieseomelitta varia, 684 nucleotides. RefSeq lists it as uncharacterized. The transcript has 3 exons. The record is from RefSeq and is a predicted model, not a curated record. NCBI's taxonomy places the organism in Eukaryota, Metazoa, Arthropoda, Insecta, Hymenoptera, Apidae.